CGUCAGCCAAACAACCACACUUCCCAUACAUAUCCAGCAGCGAGAAUAGUUUGGGUCUUGAUGAUGAUGCGAGCACGAGUCCAAUAGCUUCACGGAGACCGACGCAAGUUGAGGAGAGAGAGAGAGUUCAAAUGGAAACAACCCCGUUCCAUAAGCUCCGGAGAAUAACGUUUAAUGAGAAUGCUUUUCUCACACACACUCAC
Molecule: long non-coding RNA, 203 nt
Filed under: Actinidia chinensis (golden kiwifruit)
Lineage: Eukaryota; Viridiplantae; Streptophyta; Magnoliopsida; Ericales; Actinidiaceae
Description: long non-coding RNA (ACHI_LNC003735)
Source: RNAcentral